AAGUUUUCAAUUCUUAUGAUAUCUGGAUUUGCUUGAAAUGUGUUUAGCACAGCUCAGUGAUACUAAAAGUGUUAAGAUUUUUAGUAAAGAAAAAUUGAAGGAUUUAAUCGUAUCGGAAUAAAAUCUUCUUAAAUAAUAAUACCUUAUGGAUUUUUUCUUUUUUUUCUUUAUUAAGGCUAAUUUAUAGGUUAUUAUUAUUUAUGGUUUUUACUGUUAAGAUGAGUAUUUCUUUUUAUUUAUUUUAAAGGAACUAGGCAAAUAGAUUUCUCACCUGUUUAACAAAAACAUGGCCUAUUGAAUUUUUUAUUAGGUUUUUCUCUGCCCAGUGGAUUUUUAAACGGCCGCAGUACUUUGACUGUGCUAAGGUAGCAUAAUAAAUUGGCUUUUAAUUGGAGUCUUGAUCAACGGGAGGUUGGGAAAAAACUGUCUUUAUGAUAAUUUAAAUAAGUUACUUUUGGGGUGAAAAUGCCCUUAAAUUUUAAUUAGACAAGAAGACCCUUAGAGUUUAAAAUUUUUUUGUUGGGGCGACAGGGUUUCAAUAAUAACAUGCCUUUAUAAUAUUUGUCAAUAAGUAUUAAGAAAAAAUAAACUACCUGAGGGAUAACAGCGCAAUAUUUUUUUUGUUUGUGACCUCGAUGUUGGAUUAGGAAAGAUAUUGUUUAGUCAAUAAUGUUUUUUGUUCUGUUCGAACUUUUUCUCCUACAUGAUCUGAGUUCAGACCGGCGUGAGCCAGUCAGUUUCU
This 742-nucleotide ribosomal RNA is filed under the name Nata tarachodes. RNAcentral describes it as "partial 16S ribosomal RNA". Lineage: Eukaryota; Metazoa; Mollusca; Gastropoda; Stylommatophora; Rhytididae. The record is from RNAcentral.